AGCGGGGUAGAGCAGCUUGGUAGCUUGUCAGGCUCAUAACCUGAAGGUCGUAGGUUCAAAUCCUUCCCCCGCAACCA
RNAcentral lists this transfer RNA (77 nucleotides) under Rickettsiales bacterium. Its description in RNAcentral is "tRNA-Met". It matches the Rfam family "tRNA". Rfam says of the family: Transfer RNA (tRNA) molecules are approximately 80 nucleotides in length. The record is from RNAcentral. Lineage: Bacteria; Pseudomonadati; Pseudomonadota; Alphaproteobacteria; Rickettsiales.